AACCCGGCUCCGUGAAGCUGGAUUCGCUAGUAAUCGCGCAUCAGCCAUGGCGCGGUGAAUACGUUCCCGGGCCUUGUACACACCGCCCGUCAAGCCAUGGGAGCCGGGGGCGCCUGAAGUGCGGUACCGCGAGGGCCGCCCAAGGGCGAGACCGGUGACUGGGGCUAAGUCGUAACAAGGUAAC
Molecule: ribosomal RNA, 184 nt
Filed under: uncultured bacterium
Lineage: Bacteria
Description: partial 16S ribosomal RNA
Rfam family: Bacterial small subunit ribosomal RNA
Source: RNAcentral